This is a long non-coding RNA of Solanum dulcamara, 1312 nucleotides long. RefSeq lists it as uncharacterized. The transcript is spliced from 3 exons. Lineage: Eukaryota; Viridiplantae; Streptophyta; Magnoliopsida; Solanales; Solanaceae. The record is from RefSeq and is a predicted model, not a curated record.
UACCUCUUCCUCUUCCAAUCUUUCUUCUUCUCUUCUCCUAUUUUUUAAUAGUCUUACCGAAUGAAUGAUUGCUAUUUUAUUUUUGGUGAACAAAGAUCUCCCUUGUAGAUGCAGAAUCAAUCCUACAAGUUUUAGACUCAUGUUAGGAUUGUAUUUUCUAAGCUUCUUUGUUCUCAUACUUCAUUUUGUAUAGGUUUAUUCAGUAGUACCUCAAUAUUGGUCUAGAGUACAAACUUGUUACCUUCACACACAAAAAUGUUACCUUCCAAUUUUUAGUGUGGCAUCGGAAUGUGCUUUUAGCAUCGGAGGCCGUAUUCUUGAUUCAUUUAGGAGUUCUUUAACUCCAAAAUUGGUGCAAGCUGUUAUUUGUCUUCAAGAUUGGCGUCGAAAUGAACCUUAUCCCAUAAAUGUUGAAGAUGAUUUUAAUGAUCUUAUGAAAUUUGAACUUGGUAUGGAUGAUAUUGACUACAUUGUUCAAGCUGAAAAACAGUGAAAGCAGAUUUUGGAUCAGUUAACUUAUGGAUAUUCUGAAGAGCUAUUUUUUGAGCAAAAAUUCCAAGCUAUGAUGUAUUAGAAUAUGGAUUGCUUCUUGGUGGUGAUAUUGAUAAGCAAAGAGGGGUGGUUCUCUGUUUCCUCUGCCGCUAUUAUUUCUGAGGCUCAGGUUUGAUUGUAAUGCGUUAUAAGUUUAAUUCAAGUCGACUAACUUUUUCAAGGUUACAAUGAAGUCUUGUUCUCUGUUUCCUCUGCUGCUACUGUUUCUGAGUUGCUGUUGUGUGUUGUUGUUGUAGUGUAGCUGCUACAGGUGUUGCUGUUGUUGCUGCAGCCUGCAGGUUUGAAGUGUGAAGUUCCUUGAAGAGUUGUUUCUUGGAGUUGAAGCUCUGCAGCUCAGCAAGUUGUUACUUGGAGUUGGAUGUUACAGCUCUGCAACUGCAAGAAUCAAGAUAACUAAUCUGAAGAGUGAUCCUUCACAUCAAACUGCAGCUUCAAAGUGAUGUUGCAUGUACCUGCAUAGAAGAUGCAUACAAAAAGAAACUAUACUAGUGUAGGAAAGAAAAAAAAAUGAAGGCAGCAACUUUAAUUUCAGCUUGGUUGUUAGAACCCGAUGAAGGCAGCAUCAAAAAAAUGAAGGCAGCAGCAAAAAAAAUGAAGGCAACUACAAGCUUCACAUCUUUUAACUUUUAUUGUUGCUAUUGUGAAUAUGAUGUACUAACAUAUUCCGUGUGGACUUCGACUUCAAUAUGGUAUUACCAAAUACCGUACCGAAUUAAAUUUUGAUUUACCGAUUAUCGAAUUACCAAAUCGAAGUUUGAAA